Molecule: ribosomal RNA, 2788 nt
Filed under: Salmonella enterica subsp. enterica serovar Typhimurium
Lineage: Bacteria; Pseudomonadati; Pseudomonadota; Gammaproteobacteria; Enterobacterales; Enterobacteriaceae
Description: partial 23S ribosomal RNA
Rfam family: Bacterial large subunit ribosomal RNA
Source: RNAcentral
GAUUCGUCACACUAUCAUUAACUGAAUCCAUAGGUUAAUGAGGCGAACCGGGGGAACUGAAACAUCUAAGUACCCCGAGGAAAAGAAAUCAACCGAGAUUCCCCCAGUAGCGGCGAGCGAACGGGGAGGAGCCCAGAGCCUGAAUCAGCAUGUGUGUUAGUGGAAGCGUCUGGAAAGGCGCGCGAUACAGGGUGACAGCCCCGUACACAAAAGCGCAUGUGCUGUGAGCUCGAUGAGUAGGGCGGGACACGUGGUAUCCUGUCUGAAUAUGGGGGGACCAUCCUCCAAGGCUAAAUACUCCUGACUGACCGAUAGUGAACCAGUACCGUGAGGGAAAGGCGAAAAGAACCCCGGCGAGGGGAGUGAAAAAGAACCUGAAACCGUGUACGUACAAGCAGUGGGAGCACCCUUCGGGGUGUGACUGCGUACCUUUUGUAUAAUGGGUCAGCGACUUAUAUUCUGUAGCAAGGUUAACCGUAUAGGGGAGCCGGAGGGAAACCGAGUCUUAACCGGGCGUUAAGUUGCAGGGUAUAGACCCGAAACCCGGUGAUCUAGCCAUGGGCAGGUUGAAGGUUGGGUAACACUAACUGGAGGACCGAACCGACUAAUGUUGAAAAAUUAGCGGAUGACCUGUGGCUGGGGGUGAAAGGCCAAUCAAACCGGGAGAUAGCUGGUUCUCCCCGAAAGCUAUUUAGGUAGCGCCUCGUGAAUUCAUCUCCGGGGGUAGAGCACUGUUUCGGCUAGGGGGCCAUCCCGGCUUACCAACCCGAUGCAAACUGCGAAUACCGGAGAAUGUUAUCACGGGAGACACACGGCGGGUGCUAACGUCCGUCGUGAAGAGGGAAACAACCCAGACCGCCAGCUAAGGUCCCAAAGUCAUGGUUAAGUGGGAAACGAUGUGGGAAGGCCCAGACAGCCAGGAUGUUGGCUUAGAAGCAGCCAUCAUUUAAAGAAAGCGUAAUAGCUCACUGGUCGAGUCGGCCUGCGCGGAAGAUGUAACGGGGCUAAACCAUGCACCGAAGCUGCGGCAGCGAACGUAUCACCCAAGACAACUUUACGGAGUUGACGAUUGACGGAGCGAAGCGACGUCAAAGCGUUCAUUAAAGUCGAGUUGGCUUAGGGAUACGUUCGUUGGGUAGGGGAGCGUUCUGUAAGCCUGUGAAGGUGUGUCGUGAGGCAUGCUGGAGGUAUCAGAAGUGCGAAUGCUGACAUAAGUAACGAUAAAGCGGGUGAAAAGCCCGCUCGCCGGAAGACCAAGGGUUCCUGUCCAACGUUAAUCGGGGCAGGGUGAGUCGACCCCUAAGGCGAGGCCGAAAGGCGUAGUCGAUGGGAAACGGGUUAAUAUUCCCGUACUUGGUGUUACUGCGAAGGGGGGACGGAGAAGGCUAUGUUGGCCGGGCGACGGUUGUCCCGGUUUAAGCGUGUAGGUGUGUGUUCCAGGUAAAUCCGGUUCACUUUAACACUGAGGCGUGACGACGAGGCACUACGGUGCUGAAGCAACAAAUGCCCUGCUUCCAGGAAAAGCCUCUAAGCAUCAGGUAACAUCAAAUCGUACCCCAAACCGACACAGGUGGUCAGGUAGAGAAUACCAAGGCGCUUGAGAGAACUCGGGUGAAGGAACUAGGCAAAAUGGUGCCGUAACUUCGGGAGAAGGCACGCUGACACGUAGGUGAAGUGAUUUACUCAUGGAGCUGAAGUCAGUCGAAGAUACCAGCUGGCUGCAACUGUUUAUUAAAAACACAGCACUGUGCAAACACGAAAGUGGACGUAUACGGUGUGACGCCUGCCCGGUGCCGGAAGGUUAAUUGAUGGGGUCAGCGCAAGCGAAGCUCCUGAUCGAAGCCCCGGUAAACGGCGGCCGUAACUAUAACGGUCCUAAGGUAGCGAAAUUCCUUGUCGGGUAAGUUCCGACCUGCACGAAUGGCGUAAUGAUGGCCAGGCUGUCUCCACCCGAGACUCAGUGAAAUUGAACUCGCUGUGAAGAUGCAGUGUACCCGCGGCAAGACGGAAAGACCCCGUGAACCUUUACUAUAGCUUGACACUGAACAUUGAGCCUUGAUGUGUAGGAUAGGUGGGAGGCUUUGAAGUGUGGACGCCAGUCUGCAUGGAGCCGACCUUGAAAUACCACCCUUUAAUGUUUGAUGUUCUAACGUGGACCCGUAAUCCGGGUUGCGGACAGUGUCUGGUGGGUAGUUUGACUGGGGCGGUCUCCUCCUAAAGAGUAACGGAGGAGCACGAAGGUUGGCUAAUCCUGGUCGGACAUCAGGAGGUUAGUGCAAUGGCAUAAGCCAGCUUGACUGCGAGCGUGACGGCGCGAGCAGGUGCGAAAGCAGGUCAUAGUGAUCCGGUGGUUCUGAAUGGAAGGGCCAUCGCUCAACGGAUAAAAGGUACUCCGGGGAUAACAGGCUGAUACCGCCCAAGAGUUCAUAUCGACGGCGGUGUUUGGCACCUCGAUGUCGGCUCAUCACAUCCUGGGGCUGAAGUAGGUCCCAAGGGUAUGGCUGUUCGCCAUUUAAAGUGGUACGCGAGCUGGGUUUAGAACGUCGUGAGACAGUUCGGUCCCUAUCUGCCGUGGGCGCUGGAGAACUGAGGGGGGCUGCUCCUAGUACGAGAGGACCGGAGUGGACGCAUCACUGGUGUUCGGGUUGUCAUGCCAAUGGCACUGCCCGGUAGCUAAAUGCGGAAGAGAUAAGUGCUGAAAGCAUCUAAGCACGAAACUUGCCCCGAGAUGAGUUCUCCCUGAGACUUAGAGUCUCCUGAAGGAACGUUGAAGACGACGACGUUGAUA